GAUGAACGCUGGCGGCGUGCCUAAUACAUGCAAGUCGAGCGAACGGACGAGAAGCUUGCUUCUCUGAUGUUAGCGGCGGACGGGUGAGUAACACGUGGAUAACCUACCUAUAAGACUGGGAUAACUUCGGGAAACCGGAGCUAAUACCGGAUAAUAUUUUGAACCGCAUGGUUCAAAUGUGAAAGACGGUCUUGCUGUCACUUAUAGCUGGAUCCGCGCUGCAUUAGCUAGUUGGUAAGGUAACGGCUUACCAAGGCAACGAUGCAUAGCCGACCUGAGAGGGUGAUCGGCCACACUGGAACUGAGACACGGUCCAGACGCCUACGGGAGGCAGAAGUAGGGAAUCUUCCGCAAUGGGCGAAAGCCUGACGGAGCAACGCCGCGUGAGUGAUGAAGGUCUUCGGAUAGUAAAAAUCUGUUAGUAGGGAAGAACAGAUGUGGAAGUAACUGUGCACAUCUUGACGGUACCUAAUCAGAAAGCCACGGCUAACUACGUG
This 497-nucleotide ribosomal RNA is filed under the name uncultured bacterium. RNAcentral's name for it is "partial 16S ribosomal RNA". It matches the Rfam family "Bacterial small subunit ribosomal RNA", at positions 28 to 507 of the family's 1533-position model. The record is from RNAcentral.